RNA transcript from Zea mays, 1299 nucleotides. It is a transcript of the gene named protein-like pseudogene, with no coding region annotated. The transcript has 5 exons. NCBI's taxonomy places the organism in Eukaryota, Viridiplantae, Streptophyta, Magnoliopsida, Poales, Poaceae. The record is from RefSeq and is marked validated.
GCUUUGUCCCAUGGAUGCCGACCACCUCAUGGUGUUCAAGACCAUGCUCGCCGUCAGGUGGUAGUCCCGGCGAGCGAGAUCUCCCCACUCCAGGCUCUCUCCCAUCGCUCGCUGCCGCCUCAUGUUGUUUGCGGCCGUGCUCGCCAACCGCGGCACGGAGGCGUCGAUCCGACCGGGAGCCCUUCGCAAUGGACAAAGCCUUCCUCCUCUCCGGCAAUGAGGGCAUCGUCGGCUCGUCGCUAACGUGAGCACGUGGCAGACCCUGCUGCCCCCAUCCUUCUUCAUCUUCACUAAAUCUAGAUACUGACGAGAAGAACCAAAUGGGACUCCCUUCUGGAAGGUCAUCAGCUUCAAGUGCGGCUUCGCUGCAUCAGCGCCAACCGCAAUCAGACAUUCAUAGUCAUGAGUACCAUCAGCUUUCUCUUUUGCUUAUGUUAGCCAGCCUGACUUCUAUUUUCCACCCCCUUGUAUGUCUGGUGGACACGCAGAUGGCCAAACCAGAGUACCAGGCUAUGGAGACCGGACGAGAGUCCAAGGAGACCACCCCGCGAUUCGUCAACGUCUCCGGGAUGGCGAAGCCGCAACCCGACGCCUCCCUGUCCUUUUUGUUACCUCCGGACGCCGCUGCCGAGGGGCUGCAUGACAUGAUUCUGAAUGCUCGCGACGACCUUGAUGUUUUAUCUCCGUGGUCGGUGGGGGCGUCGGCGUGUGGUGUAGGCAGAUGAGGGAGGCGACGAUGUUCUUCUGUGGUGACCCAUCGACGCCGCAGUGGGUCGACCAACACCAUCACCACAUGGAGAUUCACAGGGCUCUCUUCUGAAGCAGCUAGCAAACAAGAGUAUCAGUGGUGGUGUAGCUGUUGUUCUAGCUGAAACGAACAAGUAAGAGAUGGAGAUGGACAUAGCAAAGCUAGAAGUUGGCUUCAUGGGAACAUCUGUAAUAUGUAGGAGUGACGCUCCUCUAAUUCUAGCAGACUUGAGGAAGCCUCGACAAACCUGAAGUUUGAACGUAUGACAGAUGACAUCUUGGUUACUUUUGUGGAUGGACAUCUUGGUCGCUUUUGUGGUUGGCUUUUGUGGAUGCGUGAAGCUACAAUUGUAGUUGUGUAAGAUUUAUGUGCAUAACUAUGUGGGUUGCAUCAGCUCUCCGUACUAUGUAUAUACCUCCCGCGUAGCUGCCUACCUAUCCCUAACUUGCGACCCAUAAACGUAGACUUCGAUCCUAUAAUCUUAUUUGGGAUCAGUUUCAGGCUGUAAUAGCCCUGACCGUCUUACUAUGGAACACGUUAAAGUAUGGUCU